Molecule: unclassified non-coding RNA, 791 nt
Filed under: Mitrephora thorelii
Lineage: Eukaryota; Viridiplantae; Streptophyta; Magnoliopsida; Magnoliales; Annonaceae
Description: partial contains small subunit ribosomal RNA, internal transcribed spacer 1, 5.8S ribosomal RNA, internal transcribed spacer 2, and large subunit ribosomal RNA
Rfam family: 5.8S ribosomal RNA (bases 378-533)
Source: RNAcentral
UUAUCAUUUAGAGGAAGGAGAAGUCGUAACAAGGUUUCCGUAGGUGAACCUGCGGAAGGAUCAUUGUCGCACCCAACGAGAAGGAGACCCGUGAACCAUGUUACCCAACGCAAGCGGACGCUGUGCUCGCCGCGGCACCGGUGCGAGGCCGGGCGCGGCAAGAGCGGUGCCAGCGCUCCGCUCGCCACGGCACCGGCGCGAGGCCGGGCGCGGCGCGAGCCUCGCCCUCCACGGCACCGGCGCGAGGCCGGGCGUGGCGGCGCGGGGGAAACAACCGAAACACCCCAGCGCGAUUGGCGCCAAGGACCCCAAGAGGAGCGGGGGAGGCGGACGGCCUCGCGCCUCCGCCCCCGUACCGCGAGAGAAUUCGAAUGGACGACUCUCGGCAACGGAUAUCUCGGCUCUCGCAUCGAUGAAGAACGUAGCGAAAUGCGAUACUUGGUGUGAAUUGCAGAAUCCCGUGAACCAUCGAGUCUUUGAACGCAAGUUGCGCCCGAGGCCUUCCGGCCGAGGGCACGCCUGCCUGGGCGUCACGCACCGCGCUGCCCGCACCCAACCCCGGGUGAGGGCGGAGAUUGGCCAACCGUGCUCCUCGGGGCGCGGCGGGCUGAAAGCUGUAUCUCGAUUGCCCCCGGCGGGGCGUCGGCACGGCGUUGGGUGGUCACCAGGGCUCCACGAGCCGAUGCGAUCGGACGCUGCGCACGUCGCCUCCCGGGGCGCCAAGGCACCCCUGAUUGCGACGCGACCCCAGGUCAGGCGGGGGCACCCGCCGAGUUUAAGCAUAUCAAUAA